Molecule: ribosomal RNA, 684 nt
Filed under: Rhizopogon guzmanii
Lineage: Eukaryota; Fungi; Basidiomycota; Agaricomycetes; Boletales; Rhizopogonaceae
Description: eukaryotic LSU rRNA
Rfam family: 5.8S ribosomal RNA (bases 225-379)
Source: RNAcentral
AUUAAUGAAUAUAAUUCGAGGGGUUGUCGCUGGCUUCGCUCGCGAGGCAUGUGCACGCUCCUUGUUUUUCAUAACUCACCUGUGCACCUAAUGUAGGAUGCCUCUCCUCCGGGAGGGGGGACCUAUGUCUUCAUAUACAUCUUCGUGUAGAAAGUCUUUGAAUGUUUACUAUCAUCGAGUCGCGACUUCUAGGAGACGCGAUUCUUUGAGAUAAAAGUUAUUACAACUUUCAGCAAUGGAUCUCUUGGCUCUCGCAUCGAUGAAGAACGCAGCGAAAAGCGAUAUGUAAUGUGAAUUGCAGAUCUACAGUGAAUCAUCGAAUCUUUGAACGCACCUUGCGCUCCUCGGUGUUCCGAGGAGCAUGCCUGUUUGAGUGUCAGUAAAUUCUCAACCCCUCUCGAUUAGCUUCGAGAGGGUGCUUGGAUAGUGGAGGUUGCAGGAGACUUGGAUUCGUCCAGGACUCGGGCUCUUCUGAAAUGCAUCGGCUUGCGGUCGACUUUCGACUAUGUGCGACAAGGCUUUCGGCGUGAUAAUGAUCGCCGUUCGCUGAAGCGCAUGACUGAAGGUUCCGUGCCUCUAAUACGUCGACCACUUACUAUCUCUCCGGAGAGAACGGGGUCUUCCUCAUUGACUUUUGACCUCAAAUCAGGUAGGACUACCCGCUGAACUUAAGCAUAUCAAUAA